CAGUAGCCAACGCCCAGCCGCCGUCACCGACGACUCCUCUCGUUAGCUAGCGUUCAGCCCCACCGUCGCCGAUUCUCUUAUAUUGGAUCUCUUCUCCUUGCGUCGCCAGAUUUGCUCAGAGAUGCUGUUGGCGUCGCCCUCUGUCCUNNNNNNNNNNNNNNUCAAGCUUCAAGCUUCUGUCUUUGAUCGCCCCUCUCUCUAGCUGAGGUCACUUUCCUCCCUCGUCGCCGUCAGCAAAGCUGCUUCAAUUUAUGUUUCUUAUUUUGUUAGUUGCUGAAAUCUGAUUCUGAGUUGCUAAUUUUUCUGUUUUUGUUCAUUUUUGCUUAUUUUGUUAAAUUUUGAUGGUUGAUGGUUGAUAGUGUUUCAUUAAAUUUUCUGAAAUAAUUUUGUGUUCUGAGUUGGGAUUGUUGUUGAUAUAUUCUGAAUUUAGUUUGGAUACUGAGUUUGGAUUCCUUACUUAGUUUUAUGUUUUUGGAUUCUCUGGUUUUAGAUGACUUUGGAUGCGUAGAAGUUUUGGAUUCUAAAUUUUUAUUGAAUACUCUAUUAGUAUUGAGGAUACAAAUAAUGUAACAGAAUAAGAUUCGGUUCAAGAAAGAGUGAAAGAAGAGUAGUUAGACUAUUGAUUAGUUAGUUAUUCUGUUUUAUGUCAAUAGCUUCCAUACAUAUAGCGUAGACCUUGUAUUUAAAGUGUAAUUCAAUUUUUAGUUCAAAAUAAUUUGAUCAAUGUAAAUUGUUU
RNAcentral lists this long non-coding RNA (736 nucleotides) under Arachis ipaensis. Its description in RNAcentral is "long non-coding RNA (AIPA_LNC000822)". The record is from RNAcentral. Lineage: Eukaryota; Viridiplantae; Streptophyta; Magnoliopsida; Fabales; Fabaceae.